Molecule: long non-coding RNA, 1301 nt
Filed under: Mytilus galloprovincialis (Mediterranean mussel)
Lineage: Eukaryota; Metazoa; Mollusca; Bivalvia; Mytilida; Mytilidae
Source: RNAcentral
AAAAGACUGCAGAGUCAACGGAAGAUGGACAAAGGGACACCAUCAAAAAACGACUUCAACGACACGAAAAGCCUUUUAGAGGUUUUCAGCCGGAAUAGAUCAGCGUCUAUACGAAAUAAAUACAAUCACUACAUUGUAAUAUCAAGCAUCUGACAGCAACUAUAGAUUAACGAUAGAUGAGCUUUCUGACUUUGGGCAGGCAAAUACACAGGUCGUGGUGCUAAUAGUCCACACGAUCUGAACAAUAAUGAUUCCUCGUUCUGUAAAAUGACAACAGGUAUGCUUCCGGUUGCGGGAAAUUCUCGCUGUGCACAUUGAAGACCUGUUGGUGACCUUCUGCUGUUGUCUGCUCUAUGGUCGGGUUGUUGUGUCUCUUUGAUACAUUCCCCCAUUUCCAUUCUCAAUUUUAAACACAUCUGGUUUUAAUCCUUGUAAUCAGAAUAAUGUUGCCACCAAAAGUGAGCGCAUAAAGCUUCAGUUGGUAAGAUCUGGUCGUUUUUAGACAUAAUAUACAUUUGUACAACUGGAAUAUUUUCGUUUUGAAAAAGAUGUGGCGCGAUUCUCAAAGAGACAAGUUGGAACUAACCACCAAAACAAAAAAGGACAUAAUGUAACUAACUAAUAGUCAUUAUAAAAAAGAAGAUCUGGUAUAAUUGCCAAUGAGACAACUCUCCACAAGAGACCAAAAUGACACAAAUUAAGAAUUAUAGGUCAACGUACGGCCUACAACAAUGAGCCGAAAUGACAAUGUAAAACUAUUCAAACGAGAAAACUAACGGCCUUACUUGUGUACAAAAAAAGUAAAGAAAAACAAAUAUGUGUCACAUAAACAAACGACAACCACUGAAUUACAGGCGCCUGACUUGGGACAGACACAGACAUACAUAAUGUGGCGGGGUUAAACAUGUUAGCCGGAUUUCAAACCUCCACUAACCUUGGACAGUUGUAUAACAGUACAACAUAAGAACGAACUAAUAAAACCAGGUGGAAAAGCCUUAACUCAUCAGAUGGACAAAAAUACAAAUGAACGUGGCCGGGUACUUGUAAAACCAAUUCAGUAUUUAGCUGUAAAAGACCAUGGAUAACAAUUUAAAAUGUGACACAGUACAACCAAAAAAAACAAAAAAAAACUAAAGUACUCUCAGAGUGGGCUCAGUCAGUGUCCUAAGUAAGGAAUCUGAUGUACAAUAGUUGUCGUCUGUUUAUGUAGUUCAUAAGUGUUUCUCGUUUCUCGUUUUUAUAUAGAUUAGACCGUUGGUUUUCCCGUUUGAAUGGUUUUACAGUAGUAAUUUUUGAAGCCC